Molecule: non-coding RNA, 136 nt
Organism: Triticum aestivum (bread wheat)
Lineage: Eukaryota; Viridiplantae; Streptophyta; Magnoliopsida; Poales; Poaceae
Source: Rfam
UUAAUACUCCCUCCGUCCGAAAAUACUUGUCAUCAAAAUGAAUAAAAGAGAAUGUAUCUAGACAUAUAUUAGUUUUAGAUACAUCACUUUUUAUCCAUUUUGAUGACAAGUAUUUUCGGACGGGGGGAAGUAUAUG